AGAAAAGAAAGAAGGGAAACACCACAUUCACACGCACAAAUACACGCAGAGACCCAGGAAUCCUAACCAAAAACAUUCUCUUAAAUUCCAGAGUUAGAUCUAGCGAAUUUAUGUGAAUGUAAGCAGUGACAAAUAGUAGUAUGAGCAGCACUGGACUGGGGGGCAUUUCGCACUACCACCACCGGUUAUGAAUCCCACUGCUGCUGACCCAGCAUCUCCGUCUCCUCCUCCGCCGCAGCCUCCGCGUUCCUCCUUCAGCUGUGACCGCUACCUUCAGGAACAAUUUACUGGUUUCUGCCCCUCCUGCCUCUGCGAGCGCCUCACCACUCUCGACCAAUCCUUCCUCCUCUUCUCGCCGCCCCUCCGCCUCCUCCUCCUCCGCUGCCGCCGCCCUUAAAUCCGUCUACUCCUCCUCUUCCUCCAAGCCCUCCACCUCCUUUCUGCAUUUCAAACUCUGCUAGGAUGUUUGUAUAGGCUAUAAUUGUUAUGUUAUCAGCUUCAUCCUUUAUCCUUUCCUCUUGAAUUUGAAUAAGAGAAACAGCCGACUUGUGGAAUCCAAGGGGACUGCACCUGGGGAAGUCAUUAAAUUGGAAGAGGUUUCUUCCGUUUUUGAACAAGGAAAAAAAAAGGAGCAGGUUUGAAUUCGGUGAAUUCGGAAUUCACCGAAUUCCGAAUUCAAUUCGGCAUCAAAUUCGAAAUCGGAAUUCCCCAUAUCGAAUUCGGUCGGGAAAAUUUAUGUCAAAAUUUCGAAAAAUUUUGAUUUCAAACUUCCGAUUUACCGAAUUCGAUUUCGAUGCACAGCCCUACUUCAUGGGGUGUGUAGUAGGGAUAUGUGCAAUAUAUUCACAAGGGUGCAUGUUAGCAAGGUUAAUAUUGUCUAAAAUAAAUGGCUGCUUUAAUUUUGGUUGGGGUCAACAGGGCAGACUUGAAGGUGCAGGUAGAAGAUAACAACAACAUGCUGGAAAUCAGUGGAGAUAGGGUGGAGCGCCGCCGUCGAAGCUACCGGAGGAGGUUCCGGCUGCCGGAAAAUGCGGAUUUGGAGGGAAUCAAAUGUGGGCUUGAGAAUGGAGUCUUAACUGUGACUAUCCCCAAGAAAGUGACUCGGGAGACUUCCCAGAAAUGUUAGAUACAUAGAUAUUGCUUAGUUUAAUUAUCUCCACUUGUUGCUUGCUUGUUUUCUAGGUAAUCAAUCACUCAUGUAAUGUCAUUUGGGACGAAGUGUUAGUUCGUGUGUUAGUGAUUGUACAUGCGCGAAAAACUUUGCAAUAAAUAAGGAACUUGAAUUUCAUGAGAUCAAUACUAGAUUACUCAUUU
This 1314-nucleotide long non-coding RNA is filed under the name Coffea arabica (coffee). RNAcentral describes it as "long non-coding RNA (CARA_LNC006736)". Lineage: Eukaryota; Viridiplantae; Streptophyta; Magnoliopsida; Gentianales; Rubiaceae. The record is from RNAcentral.